Long non-coding RNA from Nothoprocta perdicaria, 1257 nucleotides. RefSeq lists it as uncharacterized. Lineage: Eukaryota; Metazoa; Chordata; Aves; Tinamiformes; Tinamidae. The record is from RefSeq and is a predicted model, not a curated record. The transcript is spliced from 2 exons.
UCAGAUGCCUGCUUACAAUAUCCAUGGAUCUCCCAGCUGCAUUCUGUGUGUAUUGGUCAAACAAGAGUGACAAGAGAGCACGAUGUCCACUCCCUGCCGGCUGAGCAUCACGGGGUGACUGGGGUCCUGACAAUGGAGAUCCACAAGUUGUCAGAGUUUGUCCUGUUCAGUCCUUAUAAAAGCUGUAGAUCAAACAUCAAAGGUCUGCAGACCAGGGAUUGUCAGGAGUUUAGGCAGCAGUUCUGUGCUGAAGAAUGCAGACACCAGCACCAAACAGCAGUGUCUUCAAGGGAGCGAGAGAAGCGCUGGCACAGUGAAAUGUCCUCCUUAUCUGUGCAACUGGUUGGUUGGUUUUGUUUGUUUUAACUCUGUCCUCCGUCUCCGCUUCCCAGCAUUUGAACCUCAGCUAGUUAUAGUUGGGAUUGCAAUGACAAGAUGACAAGAUUGUACUCCUGUUGCAUAGAACUCAUGUAAGAGAGUAGAAAAAGUUAAAAUAGCACAAACAAUUGCAAAGGUAAGCCUUUGAAAGUAAAAAAUGACCAUGCUUAGUCCAUAUAUACCUCCUUAAUUUCCAAUUAUGAGGAGUCUGUGACAUUUCCUGCCUGCUGUAUGCCCAGGCUCUAAGCAGAAGCCUGGAUGCCAGAAGGGUUAUUAAAUGUGCCCUUCCUUCUUCCAUAGCAGAGCCUGUGCCAUUGUGGGAGCUCAUGUGGCCACAUGGUGGUCUUGCUGAAAACUCAGCUAGAGAACAGAACCACUUUUAGUUUGGAUCACUUUCCUGCCCCAUUUCGUUGCUCUGCUGCACAAGUGUUCACACAGAUGGGUGAAGGAGCAGAAGCAAAAGACAUUACUUCUCUUGCUGCUUAUGCUUGUGUUGAUCCAGGCUGCUUGCGGAAAUGUGGACACUGCAGCCUCUCACUUGGGAAGUUUUGCAGCUGUUAGUGUCAGUAGUGAGGGAUGAAGAAAGUCGUAUUGAGGGGGGAAAACUCCUAAGUCCAGACUUGUGCCUAAGCAGCGUCCUGAGAUGGGAUCUGUGUGGCCUGGUCGCAUGCAGGAGAGGGCAAGGAAAGUGCAGCACUACUUUAUUUUCAGUUGCUAAGUCGAACAGCAAUAAAGCUCAUUGGAUGUACACAGGUUGAAAAGAGAUUAUCAUUUUUUUUCACUGCUUGAGUUAGAGGGAUUAUCUUUUGCUGUAGUAAAGUUAGUAGUCUUUUUAUGCUCUUAAUUUGCCCAGUAGUGGGUUCUGCUCUGCACUUCUGG